UCCGCAAUGGGGGAUUUUCCGCAAUGGGGGAUUUUCCGCAAUGGGGGAUUUUCCGCAAUGGGGGAUUUUCCGCAARGGGGGAUUUUCCGCAAUGGGCGAAAGCCUGACGGAGCAAUACCGCGUGAGGGAGGAAGGCUCUUGGGUCGUAAACCUCUUUUCUCAGGGAAGAAGUUCUGACGGUACCUGAGGAAUAAGCAUCGGCUAACUCCGUGCCAGCAGCCGCGGUAAUACGGAGGAUGCAAGCGUUAUCCGGAAUGAUUGGGCGUAAAGGGUCUGUAGGUGGUGCUGUAAGUCUGCUGUUAAAGAGCAAGGCUCAACCUUGUAAGAGCGGUGGAAACUACAGGACUAGAGUGCAUUCGGGGCAGAAGGAAUUCCUGGUGUAGCGGUGAAAUGCGUAGAUAUCAGGAAGAACACCGGUGGCGAAAGCGUUCUGCUAGGCUGCAACUGACACUGAGGGACGAAAGCUAGRGGAGCGAAUGGGAUUAGAUACCCCAGUAGUCCUAGCCGUAAACGAUGGAUACUAGGCGUGGCUUGUAUCGACCCGAGCCGUGCCGGAGCUAACGCGUUAAGUAUCCCGCCUGGGGAGUACGCACGCAAGUGUGAAACUCAAAGGAAUUGACGGGGGCCCGCACAAGCGGUGGAGUAUGUGGUUUAAUUCGAUGCAACGCGAAGAACCUUACCAAGACUUGACAUCCUGCGAAUCCUAGUGAAAGCUGGGAGUGCCUUCGGGAGCGCAGAGACAGGUGGUGCAUGGCUGUCGUCAGCUCGUGUCGUGAGAUGUUGGGUUAAGUCCCGCAACGAGCGCAACCCUCGUUUUUAGUUGCCAGCAUUAAGUUGGGCACUCUAGAGAGACUGCCGGUGACAAACCGGAGGAAGGUGAGGAUGACGUCAAGUCAGCAUGCCCCUUACGUCUUGGGCUACACACGUACUACAAUGCUACGGACAAAGGGCAGCAAGCGCGCGAGUGCAAGCAAAUCUCAUAAACCGUAGCUCAGUUCAGAUCGAAGGCUGCAACUCGCCUUCGUGAAGGAGGAAUCGCUAGUAAUUGCAGGUCAGCAUACUGCAGUGAAUUCGUUCCCGGGCCUUGUACACACCGCCCGUCACACCAUGGAAGUUGGUCACGCCCGAAGUCAUUACCCCAACCUUUUGGAGGGGGAUGCCUAAGGUAGGACUGGUGACUGGGGGUGAAGUCGUAACAG
Molecule: ribosomal RNA, 1199 nt
Filed under: Anabaena sp. Za Cirk 11
Lineage: Bacteria; Bacillati; Cyanobacteriota; Cyanophyceae; Nostocales; Nostocaceae
Description: bacterial SSU rRNA
Rfam family: Bacterial small subunit ribosomal RNA
Source: RNAcentral